RNAcentral lists this ribosomal RNA (290 nucleotides) under uncultured Pseudonocardia sp. RNAcentral's name for it is "partial 16S ribosomal RNA". Lineage: Bacteria; Bacillati; Actinomycetota; Actinomycetes; Pseudonocardiales; Pseudonocardiaceae. The record is from RNAcentral.
CUACUGGGGUUUCUAAUCCUGUUCGCUCCCCACGCUUUCGCUCCUCAGCGUCAGUAUCGGCCCAGAGACCCGCCUUCGCCACCGGUGUUCCUCCUGAUAUCUGCGCAUUUCACCGCUACACCAGGAAUUCCAGUCUCCCCUGCCGAACUCCAGUGAUGCCCGUAUCGACCGCAAGCCCACAGUUAAGCUGCAGGUUUUCACGGCCGACGCGACACACCGCCUACGAGCUCUUUACGCCCAAUAAUUCCGGACAACGCUCGCACCCUACGUGUUACCGCGGCUGCUGGCAC